This 250-nucleotide unclassified non-coding RNA is filed under the name plant metagenome. RNAcentral describes it as "partial contains small subunit ribosomal RNA, internal transcribed spacer 1, and 5.8S ribosomal RNA". The stretch from base 195 to 250 matches the Rfam family "5.8S ribosomal RNA", at positions 1 to 56 of the family's 154-position model. The record is from RNAcentral.
GUAGGUGAACCUGCGGAAGGAUCAUUAUUGAAUUAGCGAGGGCUGUCUGCUGGCCCCUUCGGGGGCAUGUGCACGUCCGAGCCGUUUAAAUCAACACCUGUGAACUCACCGUAGGCCUUCGGGCUUAUGUAUCAUAUAUAUAUAUACUCAGAUCAUAGAAUGUACAUUUUGCCUUUAAAAAAGCAAUCAAAUACAACUUUCAACAACGGAUCUCUUGGCUCUCGCAUCGAUGAAGAACGCAGCAUCUGAC